This 1320-nucleotide ribosomal RNA is filed under the name human gut metagenome. RNAcentral's name for it is "bacterial LSU rRNA". It matches the Rfam family "Bacterial large subunit ribosomal RNA", at positions 1139 to 2473 of the family's 2925-position model. The record is from RNAcentral.
AGCUCACUAGUCGAGUGACCCUGCGCCGAAAAUGUACCGGGGCUAAGCCUGAUACCGAAACUGCGGAUUGUAGGAAACUAUAGUGGUAGGGGAGCGUUGUAUACGAGCAGAAGCCGUACCGUGAGGAGCGGUGGAUUGUAUAGAAGUGAGAAUGCCGGUGUGAGUAGCGAGAUGUAGGUGAGAAUCCUACACACCGAAAGCCCAAGGAUUCCAGGGGAAGGUUCGUCCGCCCUGGGUAAGUCGGGACCUAACGCGAGGCCGAAAGGCGUAGUGGAUGGAAAGCAGGCGAAAGAUUCCUGCACCCGUAUAUGGAGCGAAGGAGUGACGGAGACGGAUAGUGUGACCCUCUUAAUGGAUUGAGGGCGAAGCGAAGCGGCUGGUUACCAGGCAAAUCCGGUAACCAUAAGGCUAGAGCGUGACAGGUAAGCGAAAUCUUAGGAAAGUAGCGAAGCACAUGAUGACGGCUUCCAGGAAAAGCUUCUGGCAAUGCAUAUGCGGCCCGUACCAAAACCGACACAGGUGGGCAGGGAGAGAAUCCCGAGGUGAGCGAGAGAACUGUUGCCAAGGAACUCGGCAAAAUGACUCCGUAAGUUAGCGAGAAGGAGUGCUUAAGCAAUUAAGCCGCAGUGAAGAGGCCCAAGCGACUGUUUAACUAAAACACAGCUCUCUGCGAAGUCGCAAGACGAAGUAUAGGGGGUGACACCUGCCCGGUGCUGGAAGGUUAAGAGGAUCUGUUAAGAGCGAUCUGAAGCAGUGAUCCGAAGCCCCAGUGAACGGCGGCCGUAACUAUAACGGUCCUAAGGUAGCGAAAUUCCUUGUCAGGUAAGUUCUGACCCGCACGAAAGGUGUAACGAUUUGGGCGCUGUCUCGGCAGCAGACUCGGUGAAAUCUUAGUACCUGUGAAAAUGCAGGUUACCCGCAACUAGACGGAAAGACCCCAUGGAGCUUUACUGCAGCCUGAUAUUGAAUUCUGGUCAUACAUGUACAGGAUAGGUGGGAGACAAAGAGACGUGCACGCCAGUGUACGAGGAGUCGACGUUGGGAUACCACUCUUGUGUGACCGGGGUUCUAACCUGGUAUCGAGAACAGGUACGGGGAGAGUGUCAGGUGGGCAGUUUGACUGGGGCGGUCGCCUCCCAAAGAGUAACGGAGGCGCCCAAAGGUACGCUCAGAUUGGAUGGAAACCAAUCGUCGAGUGCAAUUGCAGAAGCGUGCUUGACUGUGAGACAGACAAGUCGAACAGGGACGAAAGUCGGGAAUAGUGAUCCGGCGGUGCCGAAUGGAAGGGCCGUCGCUCAACGGAUAAAAGCUACCCUGGGG